Dermacentor andersoni is the source of this 643-nucleotide long non-coding RNA. RefSeq lists it as uncharacterized. The record is from RefSeq and is a predicted model, not a curated record. NCBI's taxonomy places the organism in Eukaryota, Metazoa, Arthropoda, Arachnida, Ixodida, Ixodidae.
GUGCAAACACGCGAAAGGGCGAUCACCGCGUUGCUUAAUCCCCGCCACCACUCCGGCGGCGUACCAUGCAAAGCGGCGACAGCGCGUGUCCUUGACAAUGAAAGUGCUCCCUCGCGAUAUGCACGCGUUUGGCUCGACCCCGACGCCGCUGGAGUGUCCAGGAGAAAGAGGGCCGGAUCUCUGGUUUCGCGGCGGAGCGAGUCAUAGGCGCGUCGCCUCGCCGACUUCUCUCCUCCACUUCUCCUCUCCAUUCGAAACAAGGCUUUUUCCGACUACAAACGACACGGUCCCAGAGAGGCAGGCAGGCAGGCAGACAGGCAGCAGCAGCGGGCAAGCGCUUACGUCAUACCCAAGGUGGAGGGGAAGAGAUCGUCGCAGAUAUUGCCAGGGGUUCUUGAACCCCGUCCCAACGAAACGGCGAUCUCUGCCGGUGCUUUGCGGUUAACGACACGCGCCACCACUUGGUUGCACGAAGCACAGCUGCGACCGGAACGGCACUGCCGACGGCGCGCGGUCUUUGUUGUUGAUUCCGCGCACUUCGAGCGCCGUCCGGAACUGUGCGGUACGCACUGCGAGUCUUCCGUGCCACGUGAUUGCCCGUGGAGCUGCGAAAAAGAAAAAUGAAAAAAAAAAUGAAAAGAAA